This 402-nucleotide ribosomal RNA is filed under the name uncultured bacterium. RNAcentral's name for it is "bacterial SSU rRNA". It matches the Rfam family "Bacterial small subunit ribosomal RNA", at positions 355 to 774 of the family's 1533-position model. The record is from RNAcentral.
UGGGGAAUCUUGCACAAUGGGGGCAACCCUGAUGCAGCGACGCCGCGUGAGCGAUGAAGCCCUUCGGGUCGUAAAGCUCUUUCGACCGGAACGAUAAUGACGGUACCGGGAGAAGAAGCUGCGGCUAACUACGUGCCAGCAGCCGCGGUAAUACGUAGGCAGCAAGCGCUGUGCGGAGUUACUGGGCGUAAAGAGUGCGUAGGCGGUUUUCUAAGUUCGGUGUGAAAUCUCCCGGCUUAACUGGGAGGGUGCGCCGAAGACUGGGAAGCUGGAGUGUGGGAAAGGCAGGAGGAAUUCCUGGUGUAGCGGUGAAAUGCGUAGAUAUCAGGAGGAACACCGGCGGUGUAGACGGCUUGCUAGACCAUAACUGACGCUGAGGCACGAAAGCGUGGGUAGCAAACA